This 815-nucleotide ribosomal RNA is filed under the name uncultured bacterium. RNAcentral describes it as "bacterial SSU rRNA". It matches the Rfam family "Bacterial small subunit ribosomal RNA", at positions 8 to 796 of the family's 1533-position model. The record is from RNAcentral.
AGAGUUUGAUCAUGGCUCAGAACGAACGCUGGCGGCGUGGAUAAGACAUGCAAGUCGAGCGCUGAUUACGAGGUAGCAAUAUUUCGUAGUUGGAGCGGCGCAAGGGUGCGUAACACGUGGGUAAUCUGCCGUGAAGUCUGGAAUAACUUGCUGAAAGGCGAGCUAAUACCGGAUGUGAAAAUUGGAGGGCAUCUUCUGAUUUUCAAAGUUGGGGACCGUAAGGCCUGACGCUUCACGAUGAGCCCGCGGCCUAUCAGCUAGUUGGUGAGGUAACGGCUCACCAAGGCUAAGACGGGUAGCUGGUCUGAGAGGACGACCAGCCACACUGGAACUGAGACACGGUCCAGACACCUACGGGUGGCAGCAGUCGAGAAUUUUUCACAAUGGGCGAAAGCCUGAUGGAGCGACGCCGCGUGGGGGAUGAAUGGCUUCGGCCCGUAAACCCCUGUCAUUCGCGAACAAUGCCUGCGUGCUAACACCACGCAGGUUGAUAGUAGCGGAAGAGGAAGGGACGGCUAACUCUGUGCCAGCAGCCGCGGUAAUACAGAGGUCCCAAGCGUUGUUCGGAUUCACUGGGCGUAAAGGGUGCGUAGGUGGUCGGGUAAGUCUGAUGUGAAAUCUCGGAGCUCAACUCCGAAACGGCAUUGGAUACUAUUCGGCUUGAGGGUUGGAGGGGGGACUGGAAUUCUCGGUGUAGCAGUGAAAUGCGUAGAUAUCGAGAGGAACACCAGUGGCGAAGGCGAGUCCCUGGACAACUCCUGACACUAAGGCACGAAAGCUAGGGGAGCAAACAGGAUUAGAUACCCUAGUAGUCC